CUCGAUGUGCUAGUUUGCAAUGCUGCUGUUUAUUUGCCAACUGCUAAGGAGCCUACAUUUACGGCCGAGGGAUUUGAACUUAGUGUUGGAACCAACCAUCUUGGUCACUUCCUCCUUUCACGGCUGUUGCUUGAUGACUUGAAGCAAUCUGAUUACCCAUCAAAGCGUCUCAUCAUCGUUGGCUCAAUCACAGGUACUAAUUCAUAUAUGAUAUGCAUUUACAUCUAUCAAAUGUAGCAAAAUUUUGAUAUUCAUGCACCGACUAUACUUUAUGAUGCAUGAUAAAGGAAACACAAAUACCUUGGCUGGUAAUGUACCUCCUAAGGCCAACCUUGGGGACUUAAGGGGAUUUGCUGGAGGCUUAAAUGGGCUAAACAGCUCAUCCAUGAUUGACGGUGGAGAUUUUGACGGUGCCAAGGCCUACAAGGACAGCAAAGU
RNAcentral lists this long non-coding RNA (438 nucleotides) under Citrus sinensis (sweet orange). RNAcentral describes it as "long non-coding RNA (CSIN_LNC000093)". Lineage: Eukaryota; Viridiplantae; Streptophyta; Magnoliopsida; Sapindales; Rutaceae. The record is from RNAcentral.